Molecule: ribosomal RNA, 473 nt
Filed under: Bacillus sp. (in: firmicutes)
Lineage: Bacteria; Bacillati; Bacillota; Bacilli; Caryophanales; Bacillaceae
Description: bacterial SSU rRNA
Rfam family: Bacterial small subunit ribosomal RNA
Source: RNAcentral
CAACGCGAAGAACCUUACCAGGUCUUGACAUCCUCUGACAACCCUAGAGAUNGGGCUUUCCCUUCGGGGACAGAGUGACAGGUGGUGCAUGGUUGUCGUCAGCUCGUGUCGUGAGAUGUUGGGUUAAGUCCCGCAACGAGCGCAACCCUUGAUNUUAGUUGCCAGCAUUNAGUUGGGCACUCUAAGGUGACUGCCGGUGACAAACCGGAGGAAGGUGGGGAUGACGUCAAAUCAUCAUGCCCCUUAUGACCUGGGCUACACACGUGCUACAAUGGACAGAACAAAGGGCUGCGAGACCGCAAGGUUUAGCCAAUCCCACAAAUCUGUUCUCAGUUCGGAUCGCAGUCUGCAACUCGACUGCGUGAAGCUGGAAUCGCUAGUAAUCGCGGAUCAGCAUGCCGCGGUGAAUACGUUCCCGGGCCUUGUACACACCGCCCGUCACACCACGAGAGUUUGCAACACCCGAAGUCGGU